RNAcentral lists this ribosomal RNA (373 nucleotides) under uncultured bacterium. Its description in RNAcentral is "bacterial SSU rRNA". It matches the Rfam family "Bacterial small subunit ribosomal RNA", at positions 523 to 898 of the family's 1533-position model. The record is from RNAcentral.
AUACGGAGGGUGCGAGCGUUGUCCGGAUUUAUUGGGUUUAAAGGGUGCGUAGGCGGCCGUUUAAGUCUGGGGUGAAAGCCCGCUGCUCAACAGCGGAACUGCCCUGGAUACUGGAUGGCUUGAGUACAGACGAGGUUGGCGGAAUGGACUGAGUAGCGGUGAAAUGCAUAGAUACAGUCCAGAACCCCGAUUGCGAAGGCAGCUGACUAGGCUGUUACUGACGCUGAGGCACGAAAGCGUGGGGAGCGAACAGGAUUAGAUACCCUGGUAGUCCACGCCGUAAACGAUGGAUACUCGCUGCGAGCUAAAGAUUGUUCGUGGCUUAGGGAAACCGAUAAGUAUCCCACCUGGGGAGUACGCUCGCAAGAGUGAA